This 801-nucleotide ribosomal RNA is filed under the name uncultured bacterium. RNAcentral's name for it is "bacterial SSU rRNA". It matches the Rfam family "Bacterial small subunit ribosomal RNA", at positions 78 to 877 of the family's 1533-position model. The record is from RNAcentral.
UGCUGCUUCGCUGACGAGUGGCGGAGGGAGAGUAAUGUCUGGGAAACUGCCUGAUGGAGGGGGAUAACUACUGGAAACGGUAGCUAAUACCGCAUAACGUCGCAAGACCAAAGAGGGGGACCUUCGGGCCUCUUGCCAUCGGAUGUGCCCAGAUGGGAUUAGCUAGUAGGUGGGGUAACGGCUCACCUAGGCGACGAUCCCUAGCUGGUCUGAGAGGAUGACCAGCCACACUGGAACUGAGACACGGUCCAGACUCCUACGGGAGGCAGCAGUGGGGAAUAUUGCACAAUGGGCGCAAGCCUGAUGCAGCCAUGCCGCGUGUAUGAAGAAGGCCUUCGGGUUGUAAAGUACUUUCAGCGGGGAGGAAGGCGAUAAGGUUAAUAACCUUGUCGAUUGACGUUACCCGCAGAAGAAGCACCGGCUAACUCCGUGCCAGCAGCCGCGGUAAUACGGAGGGUGCAAGCGUUAAUCGGAAUUACUGGGCGUAAAGCGCACGCAGGCGGUCUGUCAAGUCGGAUGUGAAAUCCCCGGGCUCAACCUGGGAACUGCAUUCGAAACUGGCAGGCUAGAGUCUUGUACAGGGGGGUAGAAUUCCAGGUGUAGCGGUGAAAUGCGUAGAGAUCUGGAGGAAUACCGGUGGCGAAGGCGGCCCCCUGGACAAAGACUGACGCUCAGGUGCGAAAGCGUGGGGAGCAAAACAGGAUUAGAUACCCUGUAGUCCACGCCGUAAACGAUGUCGACUUGGAGGUUGUGCCCUUGAGGCGUGGCUUCCGGAGCUAACGCGUAAGUCGACCGCCUGGG